GUGGGGAAUUGUUCGCAAUGGGCGCAAGCCUGACGACGCAACGCCGCGUGGAGGAUGAAGGUCUUCGGAUUGUAAACUCCUGUUGCUCGAGACGAAUAGCUUCGGCCUAAUACGUCGAAGUCUGACGGUAUCGGGUGAGGAAGCCCCGGCUAACUCUGUGCCAGCAGCCGCGGUAAUACAGAGGGGGCGAGCGUUGUUCGGAAUUACUGGGCGUAAAGGGCGCGUAGGCGGCCUUUUAAGUCGGACGUGAAAUCCCCGGGCUCAACCCGGGAACUGCGUCCGAAACUGGAAGGCUUGAAUCCGGGAGAGGGAUGUGGAAUUCCAGGUGUAGCGGUGAAAUGCGUAGAUAUCUGGAGGAACACCGGUGGCGAAGGCGGCAUCCUGGACCGGCAUUGACGCUGAAGCGCGAAAGCCAGGGGAGCAAACGGGAUUAGAUACCCCUGUAGUCC
Molecule: ribosomal RNA, 449 nt
Filed under: uncultured bacterium
Lineage: Bacteria
Description: bacterial SSU rRNA
Rfam family: Bacterial small subunit ribosomal RNA
Source: RNAcentral